This 468-nucleotide ribosomal RNA is filed under the name Phyllosticta capitalensis. RNAcentral describes it as "partial large subunit ribosomal RNA". It matches the Rfam family "Eukaryotic large subunit ribosomal RNA", at positions 113 to 585 of the family's 3401-position model. The record is from RNAcentral. Lineage: Eukaryota; Fungi; Ascomycota; Dothideomycetes; Botryosphaeriales; Phyllostictaceae.
AUUUGAAAGCUGGCGUCUUCGACGUCCGCGUUGUAAUUUGUAGAGGAUGCUUCGGCGAAGACUCCUGCCUAAGUCCCCUGGAACGGGGCGUCAUAGAGGGUGAGAAUCCCGUAUGUGGCGGGCAGUCUAAGCCAUGUGAAGCUCCUUCGACGAGUCGAGUUGUUUGGGAAUGCAGCUCUAAAUGGGAGGUAAAUUUCUUCUAAAGCUAAAUAUUGGCCAGAGACCGAUAGCGCACAAGUAGAGUGAUCGAAAGAUGAAAAGCACUUUGGAAAGAGAGUUAAAAAGUACGUGAAAUUGUUGAAAGGGAAGCGCUUGCAACCAGACUCGCUCGUAGUUGCUCAGCCGGCCUCUUGGCCGGUGUACUCUUCUACGAUCGGGCCAGCAUCAGUUCGGGCGGCAGGAUAAAGGUGUCGGGAAUGUAGCACCCUUCGGGGUGUGUUAUAGCCCGGCGCGGAAUGCUGCCAGCCU